UUUCCUACGGGACGCAGCAGUGGGGAAUAUUGCACAAUGGGGGAAACCCUGAUGCAGCGACGCCGCGUGAGUGAAGAAGUAUUUCGGUAUGUAAAGCUCUAUCAGCAGGGAAGAAAAUGACAGUACCUGACUAAGAAGCCCCGGCUAACUACGUGCCAGCAGCCGCGGUAAUACGUAGGGGGCAAGCGUUAUCCGGAUUUACUGGGUGUAAAGGGAGCGUAGACGGCAGAGCAAGUCUGAAGUGAAAGCCCGCGGCCCAACUGCGGGACUGCUUUGGAAACUGCACGGCUAGAGGGCUGGCGGGG
Molecule: ribosomal RNA, 305 nt
Filed under: uncultured bacterium
Lineage: Bacteria
Description: bacterial SSU rRNA
Rfam family: Bacterial small subunit ribosomal RNA
Source: RNAcentral